UGCCUAUGGGACGCAGCAGUGGGGAAUAUUGCACAAUGGGGGGAACCCUGAUGCAGCGACGCCGCGUGAGUGAAGAAGUAUUUCGGUAUGUAAAGCUCUAUCAGCAGGGAAGAAAAUGACGGUACCUGACUAAGAAGCCCCGGCUAACUACGUGCCAGCAGCCGCGGUAAUACGUAGGGGGCAAGCGUUAUCCGGAUUUACUGGGUGUAAAGGGAGCGUAGACGGCAGUGCAAGUCUGGAGUGAAAGGCGGGGGCUCAACCCCCGGACUGCUCUGGAAACUGUACGGCUGGAGUGCAGGAGAGGG
Molecule: ribosomal RNA, 305 nt
Filed under: uncultured bacterium
Lineage: Bacteria
Description: bacterial SSU rRNA
Rfam family: Bacterial small subunit ribosomal RNA
Source: RNAcentral